Molecule: long non-coding RNA, 829 nt
Organism: Oncorhynchus keta (chum salmon)
Lineage: Eukaryota; Metazoa; Chordata; Actinopteri; Salmoniformes; Salmonidae
Exons: 6
Source: RefSeq, a predicted model, not a curated record
GACAGGUUAGUACAGUGGUGAACCUAUAGGCCUUCAGUGUGACAGGUUAGUACAGUGGUGAACCUAUAGGCCUUCAGUGUGACAGGUUAGUACAGUGGUGAACCUAUAGGUCUUCAGUGUGUGACAGGUUAGUACAGUGGUGAACCUAUAGGUCUUCAGUGUGUGACAGGUUAGUACAGUGGUGAACCUAUAGGUCUUCAGUGUGACAGGUUAGUACAGUGGUGAACCUAUAGGUCUUCAGUGUGUGACAGGUUAGUACAGUGGUGAACCUAUAGGUCUUCAGUGUGUGACAGGUUAGUACAGUGGUGAACCUAUAGGCCUUCAGUGUGUGACAGGUUAGUACAGUGGUGAACCUAUAGGCCUUCAGUGUGUGACAGGUUAGUACAGUGGUGAACCUAUAGGCCUUCAGUGUGUGACAGGUUAGUACAGUGGUGAACCUAUAGGCCUUCAGUGUGUGACAGGUUAGUACAGUGGUGAACCUAUAGGCCUUCAGUGUGUGACAGGUUAGUACAGUGGUGAACCUAUAGGCCUUCAGUGUGUGACAGGUUAGUACAGUGGUGAACCUAUAGGCCUUCAGUGUGACAGGUUAGUACAGUGGUGAACCUAUAGGCCUUCAGUGUGUGACAGGUUAGUACAGUGGUGAACCUAUAGGACUUCAGUGUGUGACAGGUUAGUACAGUGGUGAACCUAUAGGACUUCAGUGUGUGACAGGUUAGUACAGUGGUGAACCUAUAGGUCUUCAGUGUGACAGGUUAGUACAGUGGUGAACCUAUAGGACUUCAGUGUGUGACAGGUUAGUACAGUGGUGAACCUAUAGGUCUUCAGUGUG